This 460-nucleotide ribosomal RNA is filed under the name uncultured bacterium. Its description in RNAcentral is "partial 16S ribosomal RNA". It matches the Rfam family "Bacterial small subunit ribosomal RNA", at positions 338 to 795 of the family's 1533-position model. The record is from RNAcentral.
CCUACGGGAGGCAGCAGUGAGGAAUAUUGGUCAAUGGGCGCGAGCCUGAACCAGCCAAGUCGCGUGAGGGAUGACGGUCCUACGGAUUGUAAACCUCUUUUGCCGGGGAGCAAGCGUGCGUUCGUGAACCCACGUCGAGAGUACCCGGAGAAAAAGCAUCGGCGAACGCCGUGCCAGCAGCCGCGGUAAUACGGAGGAUGCGGGCGUUAUCCGGAUUUUUUGGGUUUAAAGGGUGCGUAGGCGGGAUGUCAGUUCAGCGGUAAAAGUGCGGUGCUCAACGCCGUCGAGCCGUUGAAACUGGCGGUCUUGAGAUGGCGAGAGGUAUGCGGAAUGCGUAGUGUAGCGGUGAAAUGCAUAGAUAUCGCGCAGAACUCCGAUUGCGAAGGCAGCAUACCGGCGCCCUACUGACGCUGAGGCACGAAAGCGUGGGUAUCGAACAGGAUUAGAUACCCGAGUAGUC